AAAACCAACUCGCAAGAAAAAUCCUGUGAGAAAAUUCUAUACUCGCGCAGGUGCUGGGCACUGUGUUCGUACCCAUGUGUGCACAAUGGCCGCAGGACGUCUGCUAGCAUGCACGUCCCCUCCCCACACACGCACGGGAUGGUUCCAAAAUGCCUCUUUUUUCGUGCCAAGAAUCUUUUUCUCCUCUCUCUUCACCGAGUUUCACCACUUGGCACGAAUCCAACGAUUUCAAAAUUUAUAAAUUGUCCUUUCGCUUUUCUUCCUCUCCACACUUCCAUUUAUUCCAUUUUUCAAGAUUUACGGAGAGAGAAAGAGAGAGAGAUAUAUAUGUAGUAAAAUAGUGAGAAAAGAAGAGAAAGAAGGGAAAAUAGUGAAGAAGAAAAUAUCAA
This 389-nucleotide long non-coding RNA is filed under the name Carica papaya (papaya). RNAcentral describes it as "long non-coding RNA (CPAP_LNC009015)". Lineage: Eukaryota; Viridiplantae; Streptophyta; Magnoliopsida; Brassicales; Caricaceae. The record is from RNAcentral.